RNAcentral lists this ribosomal RNA (253 nucleotides) under uncultured bacterium. RNAcentral describes it as "partial 16S ribosomal RNA". It matches the Rfam family "Bacterial small subunit ribosomal RNA", at positions 524 to 776 of the family's 1533-position model. The record is from RNAcentral.
UACGAAGGGGGCAAGCGUUGUUCGGAAUUACUGGGCGUAAAGCGCGCGUAGGCGGCUUUGCAAGUCGGGUGUGAAAUCCCCAAGCUUAACUUGGGAACUGCAUUCGAGACUGCAUUGCUAGAGUAUGGGAGAGGGAAGUGGAAUUUCCGGUGUAGCGGUGAAAUGCGUAGAUAUCGGAAGGAACAUCAGUGGCGAAAGCGACUUCCUGGACCAAUACUGACGCUCAUGUGCGAAAGCGUGGGGAGCAAACAGG